UGGGGAAUAUUGGACAAUGGGCGAAAGCCUGAUCCAGCAAUGCCGCGUGAGUGAUGAAGGCCUUAGGGUUGUAAACUGCUUUUGUACGGAACGAAACGGCCUUUUCUAAUAAAGAGGGCUAAUGACGGUACCGUAAGAAUAAGCACCGGCUAACUACGUGCCAGCAGCCGCGGUAAUACGUAGGGUGCAAGCGUUAAUCGGAAUUACUGGGCGUAAAGCGUGCGCAGGCGGUAAUGUAAGACAGUUGUGAAAUCCCCGGGCUCAACCUGGGAACUGCAUCUGUGACUGCAUUGCUGGAGUACGGCAGAGGGGGAUGGAAUUCCGCGUGUAGCAGUGAAAUGCGUAGAUAUGCGGAGGAACACCGAUGGCGAAGGCAAUCCCCUGGGCCUGUACUGACGCUCAUGCACGAAAGCGUGGGGAGCAAACA
This 427-nucleotide ribosomal RNA is filed under the name uncultured Variovorax sp. Its description in RNAcentral is "bacterial SSU rRNA". It matches the Rfam family "Bacterial small subunit ribosomal RNA", at positions 355 to 774 of the family's 1533-position model. The record is from RNAcentral. Lineage: Bacteria; Pseudomonadati; Pseudomonadota; Betaproteobacteria; Burkholderiales; Comamonadaceae.